Molecule: ribosomal RNA, 254 nt
Filed under: uncultured bacterium
Lineage: Bacteria
Description: partial 16S ribosomal RNA
Rfam family: Bacterial small subunit ribosomal RNA
Source: RNAcentral
UACGUAGGGGGCAAGCGUUGUUCGGAAUGACUGGGCGUAAAGGGUGCGUAGGCGGUGUAGCAAGUUAGAAGUGAAAUACCUAGAGCUUAACUCAGGUGCUGCUUCUAAAACUGCUAUACUUGAGUGCAGUAGAGGAGAGUGGAAUUCCUAGUGUAGCGGUGGAAUGCGUAGAUAUUAGGAGGAACAUCAGUGGCGAAGGCGACUUUCUGGACUGUAACUGACGCUGAGGCACGAAAGUGUGGGGAGCAAACAGG